UUAGGAAUAUUCGUCAAUGGGGGAAACCCUGAACGAGCAAUGCCGCGUGAACGAUGAAGGUCCUCUGGAUUGUAAAGUUCUGUUGUUUAGGAAGAAAUGUACUGAUAGGAAAUGAUCAGUGCUUGACGGUACUAUUCAAGAAAGCCACGGCUAACUACGUGCCAGCAGCCGCGGUAAUACGUAGGUGGCGAGCGUUAUCCGGAUUUAUUGGGCGUAAAGCGUCCGCAGCCGGUUUAUUAAGUAUAGAAUUAAAUUUCGGGGCUUAACCCCGUCUCGUUCUAUAAACUGAUAGGCUAGAGUGUGGUAGAGGCAAGUGGAAUUCCUAGUGUAGCGGUUAAAUGCGUAGAUAUUAGGAGGAACACCAGUGGCGAAGGCGACUUGCUGGGCCAUAACUGACGGUCAGGGACGAAAGCGUGGGGAGCAAAUAGG
This 429-nucleotide ribosomal RNA is filed under the name uncultured bacterium. Its description in RNAcentral is "bacterial SSU rRNA". It matches the Rfam family "Bacterial small subunit ribosomal RNA", at positions 355 to 776 of the family's 1533-position model. The record is from RNAcentral.